This 398-nucleotide ribosomal RNA is filed under the name uncultured bacterium. Its description in RNAcentral is "bacterial SSU rRNA". It matches the Rfam family "Bacterial small subunit ribosomal RNA", at positions 29 to 429 of the family's 1533-position model. The record is from RNAcentral.
AUUAAACGCUGGCGGCAUGCCUUACACAUGCAAGUCGAACGGCAGCACGGGGGCAACCCUGGUGGCGAGUGGCGGACGGGUGAGUAAAGCAUCGGAACGUAUCCUGGAGUGGGGGGAUAACGUAGCGAAAGUUACGCUAAUACCGCAUAUUCUGUGAGCAGGAAAGCAGGGGAUCGCAAGACCUUGCGCUCUGGGAGCGGCCGAUGUCGGAUUGGCUAGUUGGUGGGGUAAAGGCCUACCAAGGCGACGAUCCGUAGCGGGUCUGAGAGGAUGAUCCGCCACACUGGGACUGAGACACGGCCCAGACUCCUACGGGAGGCAGCAGUGGGGAAUUUUGGACAAUGGGCGGAAGCCUGAUCCAGCCAUGCCGCGUGAGUGAAGAAGGCCUCGGUUGUAAG